RNAcentral lists this ribosomal RNA (460 nucleotides) under uncultured bacterium. Its description in RNAcentral is "partial 16S ribosomal RNA". It matches the Rfam family "Bacterial small subunit ribosomal RNA", at positions 338 to 795 of the family's 1533-position model. The record is from RNAcentral.
CCUACGGGUGGCAGCAGUGAGGAAUAUUGGUCAAUGGACGAGAGUCUGAACCAGCCAAGUAGCGUGAAGGAUGACUGCCCUAUGGGUUGUAAACUUCUUUUAUAUGGGAAUAAAAUGUUGCACGUGUGGGAUUUUGUAUGUACCUUAUGAAUAAGGAUCGGCUAACUCCGUGCCAGCAGCCGCGGUAAUACGGAGGGUCCGAGCGUUAUCCGAAUUUAUUGGGUUUAAAGGGAGCGUAGAUGGGUUGUUAAGUCAGUUGUGAAUGUUUGCGGCUCAACCGUAAAAUUGCAGUUGAGACUGGCAGUCUUGAGUACAGUAGAGGUGGGCGGAAGUCGUGGUGUAGCGGUGAAAUGCUUAGAUAUCACGAAGAACCCCGAUUGCGAAGGCAGCUUACUGGACUGCAACUGACACUGAGGCUCGAAAGUGUGGGUAUCAAACAGGAUUAGAUACCCUAGUAGUC